This 460-nucleotide ribosomal RNA is filed under the name uncultured bacterium. Its description in RNAcentral is "partial 16S ribosomal RNA". It matches the Rfam family "Bacterial small subunit ribosomal RNA", at positions 338 to 795 of the family's 1533-position model. The record is from RNAcentral.
CCUACGGGUGGCUGCAGUGGGGAAUAUUGGUCAAUGGGCGCUAGCCUGAACCAGCCAAGCAGCGUGAAGGAUGACUGCCCUAUGGGUUGUAAACUUCUUUUGUAUGGGAGUAAAGUGCAGUAUGUAUACUGCUUUGCAUGUACCUUAUGAAUAAGGAUCGGCUAACUCCGUGCCAGCAGCCGCGGUAAUACGGAGGAUUCGAGCGUUAUCCGGAUUUAUUGGGUUUAAAGGGAGCGUAGGCGGUUUGUUAAGUCAGUUGUGAAAGUUUGCGGCUCAACCGUAAAAUUGCAGUUGAUACUGGCAGGCUUGAGUACAGUAGAGGGAGGUAGAAUUCGUGGUGUAGCGGUGAAAUGCUUAGAUAUCACGAAGAACUCCGAUUGCGAAGGCAGCCUGCUGGACUGUAACUGACGCUGAUGUUCGAAAGUGUGGGUAUCAAACAGGAUUAGAUACCCCGGUAGUC